UACGGGGGGGGCAAGCGUUGUUCGGAAUUACUGGGCGUAAAGGGCUCGUAGGUGGCCAACUAAGUCAGACGUGAAAUCCCUCAGCUUAACUGGGGAACUGCGUCUGAUACUGGCGGACUUGAGGACAGGAGAGGAACGCGGAAUUCCAGGUGUAGCGGUGAAAUGCGUAGAGAUGUGGAGGAAUACCGAUGGCGAAGGCAGCCUCCUGGGCCAACACUGACGCUCAUGCACGAAAGCGUGGGGAGCAAACAGG
This 253-nucleotide ribosomal RNA is filed under the name uncultured bacterium. RNAcentral's name for it is "partial 16S ribosomal RNA". It matches the Rfam family "Bacterial small subunit ribosomal RNA", at positions 524 to 776 of the family's 1533-position model. The record is from RNAcentral.